UUUGCACUCUCAAGUUGUCUAUAAAUUGUGCAUGCAUAGCAUUAGGAUGAGGUAAAAGAGAAGAGAAGAGGAAGUAGUAGGUAUACAUAAAUAAUGGAAUGCUCUAGAAGAUCAUCAUCAAGAGAUGUUUCUCUUAAGGAACUUAGCAGAAGGCUUGCUGAGUUUGCUGAAGACAGAGGCUGGGCUCAGUAUCACAGCCCCAGAAAUCUUCUUUUAGCUCUUGUUGGGGAAGUGGGGGAGCUAUCUGAAAUAUUCCAAUGGAAGGGAGAGGUUGAAAAAGGGCUACCAAAUUGGAGCUCAGAAGAAAAGGAACACUUAGAAGAAGAAGUCUCAGAUGUGUUGUUGUAUUUGGUGCAGCUUGCUGAUGUUUGUGGCUUGGAUCUUGGUCAAGCAGCUCUCUCUAAGAUUCUCAAGAAUGCCAAGAAAUAUCCACUAAAUAAUAAUUAAUCCAAAAAUACUUUUAAGUCCAUGACCUUCACAAAAUUUAGACGAAUCAGUCUCUGACGGAAGCAUUUGGACGGAUCAGUCCCUAACGGAGGCAUUUGGAAAGAGGGACUGAUCCGUCCAAAUUUUAUAAAGGUCGGAGACUUAAAAGUAUUUUUCAAUGGUCAGAGACAGAAAUGUUUGCAGGACAAAAGGUCAGAGACCUAUUUAUCUUUUUCUCUAAUAAUUAAUACAAAAACCAAUGCAAACUUCAUGUCACUUCUAUAUAUUCUGAAAAAGCUUUUAAGUAUACCGAUAUAUCGGUGUUUUAAUAAAUUUUAA
Non-coding RNA from Arachis ipaensis, 765 nucleotides. Lineage: Eukaryota; Viridiplantae; Streptophyta; Magnoliopsida; Fabales; Fabaceae. The record is from RefSeq and is a predicted model, not a curated record.